RNAcentral lists this ribosomal RNA (253 nucleotides) under uncultured bacterium. RNAcentral's name for it is "partial 16S ribosomal RNA". It matches the Rfam family "Bacterial small subunit ribosomal RNA", at positions 524 to 776 of the family's 1533-position model. The record is from RNAcentral.
GACAGAGGUGCCAAGCGUUAGGCGGAAUCACUGGGCUUAAAGCGUGUGUAGGCGGGUCGUUAAGUACCUUGUGAAAUCCCCCGGCUCAACCGGGGAACGGCUGGGUAUACUGGCGAUCUUGAGCCACCUAGGGGCAGUCGGAACAAGUGGUGGAGCGGUGAAAUGCGUAGAUAUCACUUGGAACGCCAAUGGUGAAAACAGACUGCUGGGGGUGUGCUGACGCUGAGACACGAAAGCGUGGGGAGCAAACAGG